This 460-nucleotide ribosomal RNA is filed under the name uncultured bacterium. RNAcentral describes it as "partial 16S ribosomal RNA". It matches the Rfam family "Bacterial small subunit ribosomal RNA", at positions 338 to 795 of the family's 1533-position model. The record is from RNAcentral.
CCUACGGGAGGCAGCAGUGAGGAAUAUUGGUCAAUGGGCGAGAGCCUGAACCAGCCAAGUCGCGUGAAGGAUGACGGCCCUACGGGUUGUAAACUUCUUUUGUCAGGGAGCAAUUGGGUCCACGCGUUGGCUUAGCGAGAGUACCUGAAGACAAAGCAUCGGCUAACUCCGUGCAAGCAGCCGCGGUAAUACGGAGGAUGCGAGCGUUAUCCGGAUUUAUUGGGCGAAAAGGGUGCGUAGAUGGCAUAGUAAGUCUUUUGGAAAAAUGCUGGGCUCAAGCCAGUAGGGCAAAAGAUACUGGAAAGCUGGAGUGUGACAGAGGCAAGUGGAACUACAGGUGUAGGAGUAAAAUGCGUAAAUAUAUGUAGGAACACCAGUGGCGAAGGCGGCUUGCUGGGUCGAUACUGACAUUGAGGCACGAAAGCGUGGGGAGCAAACAGGAUUAGAUACCCUUGUAGUC